GGGGGAUCUUCGGACCUCGCGCUACAGGGGCGGCCGAUGGCAGAUUAGCUAGUUGGUGGGGUAAAGGCCUACCAAGGCGACGAUCUGUAGCUGGUCUGAGAGGACGACCAGCCACACUGGGACUGAGACACGGCCCAGUACUCCUACGGGAGGCAGCAGUGGGGAAUUUUGGACAAUGGGCGCAAGCCUGAUCCAGCAAUGCCGCGUGUGUGAAGAAGGCCUUCGGGUUGUAAAGCACUUUUGUCCGGAAAGAAAACCUCUGGGUUAAUACCCUGGGGGGAUGACGGUACCGGAAGAAUAAGCACCGGCUAACUACGUGCCAGCAGCCGCGGUAAUACGUAGGGUGCAAGCGUUAAUCGGAAUUACUGGGCGUAAAGCGUGCGCAGGCGGUCCGCUAAGACAGAUGUGAAAUCCCCGGGCUUAACCUGGGAACUGCAUUUGUGACUGGCGGGCUAGAGUAUGGCAGAGGGGGGUAGAAUUCCACGUGUAGCAGUGAAAUGCGUAGAGAUGUGGAGGAAUACCGAUGGCGAAGGCAGCCCCCUGGGCCAAUACUGACGCUCAUGCACGAAAGCGUGGGGAGCAAACAGGAUUAGAUACCCUGGUAGUCCACGCCCUAAACGAUGUCAACUAGUUGUCGGGUCUUCAUUGACUUGGUAACGUAGCUAACGCGUGAAGUUGACCGCCUGGGGAGUACGGUCGCAAGAUUAAAACUCAAAGGAAUUGACGGGGACCCGCACAAGCGGUGGAUGAUGUGGAUUAAUUCGAUGCAACGCGAAAAGCCUUACCUACCC
RNAcentral lists this ribosomal RNA (791 nucleotides) under uncultured beta proteobacterium. RNAcentral's name for it is "bacterial SSU rRNA". It matches the Rfam family "Bacterial small subunit ribosomal RNA", at positions 197 to 980 of the family's 1533-position model. Lineage: Bacteria; Pseudomonadati; Pseudomonadota; Betaproteobacteria. The record is from RNAcentral.